UGUUACUCUGUAUGGGCAGAUGCUUGAAGCCUUCUGAUGUGAGCCAGACAGAGCUGUUUGCACCAUCUGUAUUAGGGCUGGACACUGCAGAGGAAAGAACUCAGCAGCACUUCCACUUUACCUUUGAUUCUUCUAAAGAGGGGCAGAUGGUCCUUUCUGGACCCUACUGGACCAGCCCCACCAAGGAAAUAGGGGGUAAAUAGAACCUUUUACAGGUUCUAAGUUAGAAUGGGCACUGCAUUCCCAAGUUGGUUAAAACCAGUGAGUGGCACAAGAAAUGGUUCUUGCUGCAAAGCAUGCUGUGCAGUACUGCCUACAGCUGCCUUAGAAGGAUGAAAGGUUGGGGCAGCCCUGGGAGCAUUUGACACUGGGUCUGGGAGUCUAAUUAUGCCAAGCCUGAUGAUGAGACUCUUAAAUCAACCCUUCUAGCAUUUUAAUUAAUGCAAUCAUGCAUAAGACUGGCAGCAGAA
This is a non-coding RNA of Zonotrichia albicollis (white-throated sparrow), 470 nucleotides long. The record is from RefSeq and is a predicted model, not a curated record. Lineage: Eukaryota; Metazoa; Chordata; Aves; Passeriformes; Passerellidae.